UUUUCAGGAUGACACUGCAUUCGAGAAGCAGAGUGCCCUGUUUGCUUUGGCAAUUGCAGAUGUUGUAGUGAUAAACAUUUGGUGCCAUGAUAUCGGUCGGGAGCAGGCUUCCAAUAGACCUCUUCUUAAAACAGUUUUUCAGGUCAUGAUGCGUUUA
Molecule: long non-coding RNA, 157 nt
Organism: Pistacia vera
Lineage: Eukaryota; Viridiplantae; Streptophyta; Magnoliopsida; Sapindales; Anacardiaceae
Exons: 3
Source: RefSeq, a predicted model, not a curated record